AAAAGAGCUGUUUGAGAGUGGAACAGACUGACUUGGAGGGUAAUGGAUUCUCCUUCUUUGGGGGUCUUUAAAUGGAAAGUGGAUGAUGGCGACGCCUUCCACGGGUACUUCUCUACCAAAGGCUCUCAAAGAGAGUGCCAGUCUAAGCUCUCUAGGAAGGGAGUUUCAGAGCCUGGGAGCAGUUUAUAUAGCAAAAUACAGUCCUUCAGACAACCUGGGCCUGAGGCGUAUCUGUGCUUAAGUAAAUCUCACCUUCCCACCAAAAAGAGCCCCGCAAGGAUCGGGACCAGGCAGAGGUGCUCCUGGGGUAGGUAAGUUGCUGUCACCACUGCGUUGAGGCUGAAGAUGGCAAACUGCUCCACGGAGCCACCGACAAACAGUUGGUGGAGCAGGGCAGGCCUGGAGCGUCCGUCCAGCGGUCCAAGGGGGUCCAGGCACAAGAUGGAGAAGGCCCUCAGCAUCAUGCCUGCAAGAAUGGGAAAGAGAAAAAAUAACAGCCUAGAAUUUUCUCUCCAACUAAUGAAAUCUGGAAAGGAAAAACAGGAUGAAAGCAGGUGCCUGGACGUUUACCGAGGAGGAUCGGGAUCCCGGUGACCAGGAGGC
Sceloporus undulatus (fence lizard) is the source of this 603-nucleotide long non-coding RNA. RefSeq lists it as uncharacterized. The record is from RefSeq and is a predicted model, not a curated record. Lineage: Eukaryota; Metazoa; Chordata; Lepidosauria; Squamata; Phrynosomatidae. The transcript has 3 exons.